This 248-nucleotide ribosomal RNA is filed under the name Flagelloscypha sp. 2 CRJH-2017. RNAcentral describes it as "partial 28S ribosomal RNA". It matches the Rfam family "Eukaryotic large subunit ribosomal RNA", at positions 104 to 344 of the family's 3401-position model. Lineage: Eukaryota; Fungi; Basidiomycota; Agaricomycetes; Agaricales; Niaceae. The record is from RNAcentral.
AAAGCUCAAAUUUGAAAUCUGGCUGUCGUAUGGCAGUCCGAGUUGUAAUUUCGAGAAGCAUUGCCCGUGCCGGACCGUGCAUAAGUCCUCUGGAAAGGGGUAUCAUAGAGGGUGACAAUCCCGUCUUUGGUACGGACUCCCGGUGCAUUGUGGUAUGCUCUCAACGAGUCGAGUUGUUUGGGAAUGCAGCUCAAAAUGGGUGGUAAAUUCCAUCUAAAGCUAAAUAUUGGCGUGAGACCGAUAGCGAA